UUGCAUUCAAGAUUUUAUUUUGAAAAGGUUUUUGGAAAAGAAAACAUAAAAGAAAAUAAAAAAAGAAAACCCCAGCCGAACCCCCCCUCACCCCGCGCACGGCCCAGUUCUUUUCCUCGGCCCACUACCUUCUCGGCCCAGGCGCGUGCACUCCCUCCCCUCCCUGUCUGCUGGGCUCGCUGACACCCUAGGCCCGCGAGUCAGCCUCCUCUCUCCCACCGACGACCCGGCCCCACCAGACAGCAAGUCCUCCCCUUCUUCCCCGCGUAUCCGACCAGGAUUCUUUCCUCCCCAGCGCCGAGCCGAUCCCGAAACCCCAUGAUCUCCUUUCUAUCUUGUGUGCCAAGCUUCUAUAAAGCCUCUAGAUCAACCCCGCGACCCCC
Molecule: long non-coding RNA, 383 nt
Filed under: Sorghum bicolor (sorghum)
Lineage: Eukaryota; Viridiplantae; Streptophyta; Magnoliopsida; Poales; Poaceae
Description: long non-coding RNA (SBIC_LNC001111)
Source: RNAcentral